UGGGGAAUAUUGGACAAUGGGCGAAAGCCUGAUCCAGCAACGCCGCGUGAGGGAUGACGGCCUUCGGGUUGUAAACCUCUUUCAGCAGGGACGAAGCGCAAGUGACGGUACCUGCAGAAGAAGCACCGGCCAACUACGUGCCAGCAGCCGCGGUAAUACGUAGGGUGCGAGCGUUGCUCGGAAUUACUGGGCGUAAAGGGCGCGUAGGCGGGUCGUUUAGUUAGAGGUGAAAGCCCAGGGCUCAACCCUGGAAUUGCCUUUAAUACUGGCGGGCCUUGAGUAUGGCAGAGGUGUGUGGAACUCCGAGUGUAGAGGUGAAAUUCGUAGAUAUUCGGAAGAACACCAGUGGCGAAGGCGACACACUGGGCCAUUACUGACGCUGAGGCGCGAAAAGCGUGGGGAGCAAACAGGAUUAGAUACCC
RNAcentral lists this ribosomal RNA (422 nucleotides) under uncultured bacterium. Its description in RNAcentral is "bacterial SSU rRNA". It matches the Rfam family "Bacterial small subunit ribosomal RNA", at positions 355 to 787 of the family's 1533-position model. The record is from RNAcentral.